AGGUACAUGGUGGCUGAAUUCCUUGUUCGGGGCACAUCUUUGAUCAAGUCUGAAUCUGAACUCAACAUUCUGGUUAUGCCCAAAUGGCCCUGAGAAAAGCAAGUUCUACAUGAUAUGUGAAAGUCCAAGCACCAUAGGAAUGAAAAAGAUCCUACAGCCUCAGGUAGGAAGCGACCAGGAAAGGAAGGCGGCCAGCAGGGGAGACGACUGACCUUCGCAGCCAUCCUGCCGCCCAUGCACUAUUCACUCGCCCGCCGGGCGGGAUCCCUAGGUGUGUUCCGAAGCUGCCCGGGGGCUUGCGGGAGCAGAGGCUGCCGUGCGCCCGCGCGGGGUGGACUGCAGCAGGCAGCCCCAGCGUCUGCAGAGGGGACGUGAGGACAUCUGGCCCGUGUCCCUGCGAGCAGGGCUCCGCCGCAGGCCUUUGAAAAUCCUCCGCACCGGCCCCCAGCGCCUUGGAACUUUCUCCCCGGAGAAUUUAGAAGAGGCGGUGCCCUUGAUUUCUUGGCCAUCUAGGCCUCGGGCGCGUGCAGAGCGUUCCGCGAGCAUCGCGGUGCGGAAGGCGCUCGGUUCUCAGAGCCUGGAGCCCGCGGGGGUGAUACCCUGCUGCUCUCCAGCCCUCUGCUCCCUGGCUGUGCCUCUUGAAAAACAAGUGACUGUAUCUCUCCGGGCUUCUUUUUCUUCAUCUUUAAAAUAAACUCUUGGGCCAAAUGACUCUGAGGUUCUUUCCAGCUCUGAAUUCCUCGGGCAUUUUUAACCUGUUUAACUGAAAUGCUGAUUAAACUUGGACGGAUAGCAAGGAAAUAUUUUCCAAUCAGAGUAGAGACGUGACUAAUUUGCCACUCAGGUUUCUGAAGCUUAUGGUGGUCUAAGGAACACCC
Molecule: long non-coding RNA, 878 nt
Organism: Bubalus bubalis (water buffalo)
Lineage: Eukaryota; Metazoa; Chordata; Mammalia; Artiodactyla; Bovidae
Exons: 3
Source: RefSeq, a predicted model, not a curated record